GCCUAGGCUUUUCUGAAAGCCAGCUAAUUUACAAUGAAUAUUGUUGU
Meleagris gallopavo (turkey) is the source of this 47-nucleotide non-coding RNA. The record is from Rfam. NCBI's taxonomy places the organism in Eukaryota, Metazoa, Chordata, Aves, Galliformes, Phasianidae.